Molecule: long non-coding RNA, 799 nt
Filed under: Homo sapiens (human)
Lineage: Eukaryota; Metazoa; Chordata; Mammalia; Primates; Hominidae
Description: HSALNT0378163
Source: RNAcentral
CUAAAUAGCUGCAAAACAAAUGACCACAAAGUAAAGGAGUAAGAGAGCAGUAGAAGAUGAUGCCUUUUGAAUACAUGCAAAACCAAACAGGGAACAGCUACCAGCUGUCUUUUGUUCCCUCCAAGGACAAGAACAAAUAAAAACAAAACUCCUGGGAAUAAGGCAAGAAAAGUAAACUACAGUGGACCAUAUGAUUCAAGAUUCUUUAACUUACUACUAACAUGAUGAGUUAGUAUGAUUGAAAAAGAUCUGGCAUCUAGAACAGCUACAGAAGGUCUUGCAUACAGAAUAGCCUAUCUAAGAGCAUCCCUAGAGCCUAUUUCUGAGGAUGGCAGAGAGAAGAAUCUGGUCUAUGGAGGCAUCACUGAGCAAUGAAAUUAACCAAGUGUACAACUCAUUCUAUUUUUGGAAUGUUUGCUCCUUAAUUUCUCCCCUAGUUCUGCAUCACUGUUUUUCUUUUCGCUCUGAACUUUUUGUAGAGUUAGCUAAAAACAAUGUGCCUUUCUACCUGCUUUUUUUUUUUUUUUCUAAAGAUAUGACUUAUAUUCAACUUUUGACUUAAACUGGUCCUGGCUAAUAAAUUUAUCUUCUGACCUUGCCCUAGCAAGCUUUUCUGUUGGCUCCUGAUAGGGCUGAUUUGGGUCUACUUGAGGAUGUCCGGACUGCUCCGGAUACUUCAGGACCGUGGUUCCUAUUGGCCACAUACCAGGGACACCUCAUACCUACUUUUGUCCUGACUUUCUCCAACAUCCAUUAUUCUUAACAAUAUAAUGUGCUCUAUCACUAGUUAGAACUCAGG